Molecule: ribosomal RNA, 308 nt
Filed under: uncultured bacterium
Lineage: Bacteria
Description: bacterial SSU rRNA
Rfam family: Bacterial small subunit ribosomal RNA
Source: RNAcentral
GAUGAACGCUGGCGGCGUGCCUAACACAUGCAAGUCGAACGAGAUAGAGAGUGCUUGCACUUUCUAUCUAGUGGCGGACGGGUGAGUAACGCGUGGAUAAUCUGCCCUACACAGGGGGAUAACAGCCGGAAACGGCUGCUAAUACCGCAUAACACUGCAUAGUCGCAUGAAGAUGCAGAGAAAGAGAUUCGGUGUAGGAUGAGUCCGCGUCCGAUUAGCUAGUUGGAGGGGUAAGAGCCCACCAAGGCGACGAUCGGUAGCCGGCCUGAGAGGGCGACCGGCCACAUUGGGACUGAGACACGGCCCAG